Molecule: ribosomal RNA, 95 nt
Filed under: Phialophora verrucosa
Lineage: Eukaryota; Fungi; Ascomycota; Eurotiomycetes; Chaetothyriales; Herpotrichiellaceae
Description: partial 18S ribosomal RNA
Source: RNAcentral
CCGUAGGUGAAGUCAUGAUCUUUUGAACGCCUUGCGCCUUCUGGUUAUUGGAAAGGGCAUGCCUGUCCGAGCGUCAUUAUCAUUGAACCUGCGGA